Molecule: long non-coding RNA, 4646 nt
Filed under: Olea europaea (common olive)
Lineage: Eukaryota; Viridiplantae; Streptophyta; Magnoliopsida; Lamiales; Oleaceae
Description: long non-coding RNA (OEUR_LNC006644)
Source: RNAcentral
GGAGUUUCUGAAUAUCACAUGUAAAUGUAAACCCAUAGAACUCCAGGGAAUUAUUUGUACAAAAUGCUGCGUUUAUUUAGUAAUGGCGAAAUCGGCCACUGCAUCACAUGGGUGAAGGUGGCGUUGUAUUGCAUCAGUGUCACCCCUCAAGAGUUCGACUGCAGCGCUGCUUGUACGGAUGAAUUAUAUCAUUUCUAGCCCGAGUUUUGUAAGAUUGCGUCUGAUGGAUUACUAGAACUCGUCCAAUUGCAGAAAGGGAGGGUACAUCAGAUUUCAGAAUGUUGGAAGGUGUUUUGCACUUGUUUGCUUUUCUUUUUUAGUUUAAAAUUCUAUGACUCAUUGGUCAAAAGCGUUUAAUUGUAUUUGUAUGCCUGUGACAUAACUCUCAAUAUAGAGCUUCAGUCCAGUCAAUGUUUAAGCAUUAAAACACAGUUCACUAAUCAAUCUAGACUCAUUGGUCAAAAUGUCAUGAUUUCAAGUGCUUAAUUGGAUGCCUAUGACAUACCUCUUGAUAUAGAACUUAUGUAGAGCCUCAAAUCAAGUCAAAGUUUAAGCAUUAAACAACACACAGAUUGUUUUCAUUUUCGGGCUGCAGCCACAGCUAAACAACUUCGAUCUAAGAUGAUGCGAACCAGGGAGCAAAGGUCUCCUAAUAAUCAAUCCCUGUACUCUUGAGUGAAGUCUUGGAGCUUUAUAUCAUUCUACAAGGCCAUCUGAUCUUGUUUUAAUUUUGUAGACCCAUUUACAACAAACAAUAGAUUUCCCAUGUGGGAGUCAACCAAAUCCAAGUGUGAGUCUUACUUAAGUCUUGCAAUUCUUCUGUCAUUGCUUGCUGCCAAAUAGGAUUAGUACUGACUUCACGAUAUGUUUUGAGAUUCAUGAAAGGAUACUGUAGCAGAAAAACAGUGAUAAUCACAAACAUGAGAAGACAGUUGACUUGCUCGAGUAGAUUGACAUGGAAGUUGAAACUCAAUAGAGGAGUUAGAAUCUGCAUCCGAAUGAGAUACUUCUUGGGCAGUCACGGUAUGAUCUUCGGUAGAACAUGUAUCACAGCCGGAGAGAAAGGGGUCUAUAGGAGUAGGAUUUGGCAAUUCUUCACUACAUGAUGGUGGGAGUAAGUCUGUAAAUGGAUCAAGAAAGAAAGUUACAAUUGACAAGACACACAAUCAACUUUAAUGUCUGGGAUGGAUCUUAACAUACCUCUAGAAAUUAAUGGACAAAAUUUAGAUAACGGCACAUGUCCAAAACGAGAAUGUUAAGUUUCAGAUGACACUGAAAUAGCAAAAUGACUCAAUAUCGAUAAGAAAGACGUAAAGAAGCAAGUUUGAACAGAUGACCAACUUUAUAGUCGGUCCCAUGUAUCUGCCCUGUCUGCGAUUCCUGCACAUGACGAGAAAAGUGUAAGCUUGGGAUCCAGAAAUGUCUGAGGUAGAGAUAGGUUAGCGGUCGAGAUCUCUCUUAUAUGACUAACAUGAAUUUUAGAGUUAUUCGUAGUAUGAAUAGUAGGUGUGUGAGAGAUAAGUGUGUGCGGUUGGAACUUAGAAGAAUCAAAUGUGGUUACAACAAGUCAACAACCAUAAUCAAAGAACCAAGAUUUAGAUUUACCUGGAAUGACAGAGAGGGUAGGAUAGGAAGUACCGGACUUAUCUAGGGUUUUCUUGAUAGUGUUAAGGUAAACUUUGUUGAAAAGAGCUUUAAGCAUACGGAGCUCAGUACUAGUUUAUGAUGAAUCCUACUGACAUCAGUAAUGACAACUGCAGUCCUUAAACGAUUGGUUCUUAGGAUUUGAAAUUCUAACUAGCCAUGUGCCUUAACCUCUUUCGACAUUCAUCAAUAUGGUUACGUGGUAUAUAAUAGUGACAAGUGCCCUUGUGCUUUGUAGAUGUAGUAGCAUAACAGUGUUAGUAGAAUCUGAAUUCUGAAUUUCUGAUGAGAUCUCAUUGUGCUAAGGUAAGAGUUUUAAUUCAGCAACCAUGCGUCUCAAGUUUAGGAAAUGGAUCUCAAUGAGCAAAGAGGCUCGAACAGAGCUAGGGUCAUGAGAAAGUGAAUAACUCUCAACUUAUCUUUGUCGGUGGUAAAUUUAGUCGUGUCAGAUGUUUGAUCCCACAUUGGUUCAGAGUAUGCUAGCUGGUUCCAAAUAACAUGCAUCCGAGAGAGGAAAUCAUUUAUAGGUGUCCUGGUUCUUGCUUCAAGCUAUGUAGAUAGCCAUAGAGUUAAUACUGAUGUGAAAUAGAGUAUUGUUGAGCUUGUAAAUCCACACUUCUUUAGCAGUAUCAAAUCGUCCAACUGAAGUUUGAUAAAAGAAAUAUUAGUAUUUCAGAACCAAGUGAGAAUUUGAUGGUUCUUGAUAUCCCAUUCAUCCGGUCGAUCAUAAAACUGGUCCUCCAUUUCAUUCUUACACUUAAGCGGUGAAGUAAUUGUUUCAGUAAUAUAUCACCUUAAUUUGCGCCCUUUAAGAAAGCUAAACAUCUCUUGAGACCAUAUAAUGUAGUUGGUCCCAUCCAAAAAGUGUCAAUGGAGAGAGAGAGAGAGAUCUUAUUUAUCCAUGCAGGUGAAGAAAAUAGACGAUGAAAUGCAAAAACAUGUAAGAUCAGGUGCUACACGUUACAAAACUGUACUAUGCAAUCAGAACUAGGGAAAUCAAGGUUGGAAACAGAUUCAGAACCUUUGAAUACCUUAGGAACCGCUAUGAACUGUCAAAGAAUUGGAUUGUACGAAGUCAAACAGGUCGGUUAGAGUUUGCACACGUGGUGCUAACAUGGCAGACAGAAUAUAAACAGGUGCGUGAGGCAGUGAUAUUAGGUGCAGUUCAGACGAGAGGCGCAUGAGGGCACUUUAAGCUUCGUGUCGGAGGAUUUUGGUGGCAUUAGACUCGUGCUUUGACGUAGAGUUGAUAUAUGGCAGGAACUCAAAAAAUAGACAACAAAAGUAUAGUGGGGGAUUUAUGGUUCAGACAAGUAUUGGUGAUGUAACUAGGAGCCAAUAGUAACCAUAAAAUUUUUCCCUGCAACAACUGUGGCUCUUUUACCAUGUUUUAGGACAAAGAAAAAGAGAUAAAACUAUACCAGUGUUGAGUAUUCACUACAAUGAAAAGUGUCCUAUAUAUAGGAGAAUUACAACUAUGUAUGUGUAAAGUUACAGCUGAGGAACGAUGCUACCAUAUUUACAUAAUUCUUAACAGUUUUAACAAUGGAAGAGUGUAUUUGAUUUAUUUUAACAUGUAUGUGUGAACGCUUACGGUGUUAAUUGUGUGUUUUGAGUUUAUGGUUGUUUUAGGUGGGAGGGGGGUGGGGUGGUUCCUGGGAAGAAGUUUACGUUGUUAAUCACACUCUGAGAAAUGCAGCAAUAAAUUUAAAGUCAAAUAUUAUUUAACUGUGAAGAAAUCUUGUGCUAGAGCCCUUCAACCUCAACUAAUAUUAGAUUCAAAAAGUUAUGCACGCACGCACAACUCAUUAGGUUACAAUGCUCUAAAUGUGGCAGACCCUUCAUUCAUUAUCUCAGUGAUUUUUUCUUCCCUAACCAAAUGAGAGAAUUCAGCUUCUGAAGUUGAAUAUAAACUUUCUUCCUUGAUGUAAAAUAAUAAUUUCCUCUCAGCUCCAGCUGAAGCCAUUUAAAUCGAAUUGCUUGCAACUUGAAGCAGGAUCAUUUUUGUCAUCCAUGUUUAGAUCCAGUUCUGUUGUAAAGUAAGGUAGUUUUGUCUUCUGCUUCUCUGGUCUAUGAGCAUCUCGGCCUAAAUAUUUAGCAUCUGCAUCAGCUUCUCUAUGUCUUUCCCCUGAACAGCUACUACUGCCAUUCCAUAGUCCUCUCUGAGGUCCAAUGGCCAUCGACAAAUUUCUGGAGUUCUCUUCUGUAGCAAAUGCUUUUUCUACAUUGUCAUUUGUUGCACAAAGAAAUCUGCUGCUCACUUUCAGGUCUUCGCACAGUUUGAGUUCAGUCUUCUGCACCCUGAGUUCAUUGUCAAUAAUCCUCGACUCUAUAGGUUCUCGAAAAUUCAAAGUUUUCAAUCCUAUUUGGUUAUUGUACAAUUCUUGGUCCCUGAGAGAACCUUCACAGGAGGUUAAGCAGCUGUCUGUUGAACAAUCCGUUGGCUGAGUUGUUUUUAUUUGCUGUAGGGACAAAUCCGACACUUCUUUCAUCCCUGAAAAUUCAGAAUUCAGGCAUUGGGUAGAUACUUUAGACACCAAAUCUGAUAUCUGAACCUUGGCUGCCUCCAAAUCAAUUGUCCCCAAGUUCUGUGUUCCUAGGGUUUCCUCUGCUUUCUCCAAUACGGACUGUAGAUAUUUACCUUGGGCCUCAAUCCGUAGCUGUAAAUGGCGCUGUACCUACACAUACAGAGUAAACUCUGUUUUCAGUGCAACAUAAAAUUCAACAUUUAAUUGUUUGAAAUAUGAAUUUUGGACUACUAUUGUUUAUUAGGAAAGUUUCACUUCAAUAAGAGAUUAAAAUUGUCAUCGCGAUCCUACAUGUGUGAAAUAUUUGCCUAGAAUUUGGUUAAAUGCAUGUUUUCAUGGUAUAUCUUCCAAAGAUCUGAUGACAACUUUUCUGGUUUCAGAUUUCAGAGGGUUUUGAAGAGGCCACACUUUAUUUUGAUUCAUUAGUAAAAAUAUGUAUUCUCUUAUGUUGGAAUCAAAGAAAUUGCAAUUGCU